Molecule: long non-coding RNA, 253 nt
Filed under: Capsicum annuum
Lineage: Eukaryota; Viridiplantae; Streptophyta; Magnoliopsida; Solanales; Solanaceae
Description: long non-coding RNA (CANN_LNC007240)
Source: RNAcentral
UUAAAAGUGUGAAACCCAACAAAAGAGUCUUAUUAAACUGAUAAACCCAUUAAUUAUUAGGCCAGUAUAAAAGUUAAAAUUAAGAUUUACUCGUAAAAGUAACAAAUUUCAAACUAAACUUCAAAUUAGUUACUCAAAAGAUGUGUUUGGCUUUGCUAGCUUUUACUCAAAAUGCUUAUGUUAAAAUUAUUUAAUAAAUACCUCCUCUAAUCUAAAAUUAAUGAAUCUUUGAAUGUGACACACAUCUUCAAAA